AUUGAACGCUGGCGGCAGGCUUAACACAUGCAAGUCGAGCGGGGGAAGGUAGCUUGCUACCGGACCUAGCGGCGGACGGGUGAGUAAUGCUUAGGAAUCUGCCUAUUAGUGGGGGACAACAUCUCGAAAGGGAUGCUAAUACCGCAUACGUCCUAUGGGAGAAAGCAGGGGAUCUUCGGACCUCGCGCUAAUAGAUGAGCCUAAGUCGGAUUAGCUAGUUGGUGGGGUAAAGGCCUACCAAGGCGACGAUCUGUAGCGGGUCUGAGAGGAUGAUCCGCCACACUGGGACUGAGACACGGCCCAGACUCCUACGGGAGGCAGCAGUGGGGAAUAUUGGACAAUGGGGGGAACCCUGAUCCAGCCAUGCCGCGUGUGUGAAGAAGGCCUUAUGGUUGUAAAGCACUUUAAGCGAGGAGGAGGCUACUUUAGUUAAUACCUAGAGAUAGUGGACGUUACUCGCAGAAUAAGCACCGGCUAACUCUGUGCCAGCCGCCGCCGUAA
This 501-nucleotide ribosomal RNA is filed under the name uncultured bacterium. Its description in RNAcentral is "partial 16S ribosomal RNA". It matches the Rfam family "Bacterial small subunit ribosomal RNA", at positions 30 to 523 of the family's 1533-position model. The record is from RNAcentral.